GUCAGCGGCCAUGGCAGGGGGGGUACGCCCGGUCCCGUUCCGAACCCGGAAGCUAAGCCCCCGAGCGCCGAGAGUACUGCGGU
RNAcentral lists this ribosomal RNA (83 nucleotides) under Enorma massiliensis. Lineage: Bacteria; Bacillati; Actinomycetota; Coriobacteriia; Coriobacteriales; Coriobacteriaceae. The record is from RNAcentral.